RNAcentral lists this ribosomal RNA (694 nucleotides) under uncultured cyanobacterium. RNAcentral describes it as "bacterial SSU rRNA". It matches the Rfam family "Bacterial small subunit ribosomal RNA", at positions 312 to 1020 of the family's 1533-position model. Lineage: Bacteria; Bacillati; Cyanobacteriota. The record is from RNAcentral.
ACUGGGACCGAGACACGGCCCAGACUCCUACGGGAGGCAGCAGUGGGGAAUUUUCCGCAAUGGGCGCAAGCCUGACGGAGCAAUACCGCGUGAGGGAGGAAGGCCUUUGGGUUGUAAACCUCUUUUCUUAAGGAAGAAGAUCUGGCGGUACUUAAGGAAUCAGCAUCGGCUAACUCCGUGCCAGCAGCCGCGGUAAUACGGAGGAUGCAAGCGUUAUCCGGAAUUAUUGGGCGUAAAGCGUCCGCAGGCGGCAUUAUAAGUCUGCUGUCAAAGACCGCAGCUCAACUGCGGAAAGGCAGUGGAAACUGUAAAGCUAGAGUACGGUAGGGGUAGAGGGAAUUCCCAGUGUAGCGGUGAAAUGCGUAGAUAUUGGGAAGAACACCAGUGGCGAAAGCGCUCUACUGGGCCGUAACUGACGCUCAGGGACGAAAGCUAGGGGAGCGAAAGGGAUUAGAUACCCCUGUAGUCCUAGCUGUAAACGAUGGAUACUAGGCGUAGCUUGUAUCGACCCGAGCUGUGCCGAAGCUAACGCGUUAAGUAUCCCGCCUGGGGAGUACGCACGCAAGUGUGAAACUCAAAGGAAUUGACGGGGGCCCGCACAAGCGGUGGAGUAUGUGGUUUAAUUCGAUGCAACGCGAAGAACCUUACCAGGGCUUGACAUGUCGCGAAUCUAAAGGAAACUUUAGAGUGCCUU